Molecule: ribosomal RNA, 53 nt
Filed under: Enterocytozoon bieneusi
Lineage: Eukaryota; Fungi; Microsporidia; Enterocytozoonidae
Description: partial large subunit ribosomal RNA
Source: RNAcentral
AGUAGGGUGCCAUCAAGAGGUGUAUUUGGAAAUAUCCCUAAUACAGGAUCACU